AGAUACUCUGACCCCAUUACAGAGAAAUGCUCUUUUCUGGACAAAAUUCUUGGUUCUUUUGUUUUCUUGCAAGUCAUUCAAGGAGGGAUCACCAUUGCUGAAAUACCUAGCAUUUAAGUAGGAACCAGGUCUUCCAUUGAUUUGAUCAUACCUUUAUAAACCAAGGUUCCUGGAGUGCUUGGUACACAAAAAAGCACUCAGGCCCACUGAAUAUAAGUAACUAGUAAUUUGAGUUGGGUCAUAUGGUU
Long non-coding RNA from Pipistrellus kuhlii (Kuhl's pipistrelle), 248 nucleotides. RefSeq lists it as uncharacterized. The record is from RefSeq and is a predicted model, not a curated record. The transcript is spliced from 2 exons. Lineage: Eukaryota; Metazoa; Chordata; Mammalia; Chiroptera; Vespertilionidae.